RNAcentral lists this ribosomal RNA (371 nucleotides) under uncultured bacterium. RNAcentral's name for it is "bacterial SSU rRNA". It matches the Rfam family "Bacterial small subunit ribosomal RNA", at positions 527 to 896 of the family's 1533-position model. The record is from RNAcentral.
GGAGGGGGCAAGCGUUACUCGGAAUUAUUGGGCGUAAAGGGCGCGUAGGCGGUCGUGUGCGUCGGAGGUGAAAUCCCCGGGCUUAACCCGGGAGCUGCCUCCGAUACGGCAUGGCUUGAGUCCGGGAGAGGGGAGCAGAAUUCCCAGUGUAGCGGUGAAAUGCGUAGAUAUUGGGAGGAAUACUGGUGGCGAAGGCGGCUCCCUGGACCGGUACUGACGCUGAGGCGCGAAAGCGUGGGUAGCAAACAGGAUUAGAUACCCUGGUAGUCCACGCCGUAAACGAUGGGUGCUUGGUGUCGGGGGUAUCGACCCCUCCGGUGCCGAAGCUAACGCAUUAAGCACCCCGCCUGGGGAGUACGGUCGCAAGGCUG